GACGAACGCUGGCGGCGUGCUUAACACAUGCAAGUCGAGCGGAAAGGCCUCUUUCGGGGGGUACUCGAGUGGCGAACGGGUGAGUAACACGUGAGUAACCUGCCCUUGACUUUGGGAUAACUUCAGGAAACUGGGGCUAAUACCGGAUAGGAGCUCCUGCUGCAUGGUGGGGGUUGGAAAGUUUCGGCGGUUGGGGAUGGACUCGCGGCUUAUCAGCUUGUUGGUGGGGUAGUGGCUUACCAAGGCUUUGACGGGUAGCCGGCCUGAGAGGGUGACCGGCCACAUUGGGACUGAGAUACGGCCCAGACUCCUACGGGAGGCAGCAGUGGGGAAUAUUGCACAAUGGGUGGAAGCCUGAUGCAGCAACGCCGAGUGCGGGAGGACGGCCUUCGGGUUGUAAACCGCUUUCGCUCAUGACGAAGCUUUGUGUGACGGUAGUGGGUAAAGAAGCACCGGCUAACUACGUG
Molecule: ribosomal RNA, 467 nt
Filed under: uncultured bacterium
Lineage: Bacteria
Description: partial 16S ribosomal RNA
Rfam family: Bacterial small subunit ribosomal RNA
Source: RNAcentral